AUUGAACGCUGGCGGCAUGCCUUACACAUGCAAGUCGAACGGCAGCACGGGUGCUUGCACCUGUUGGCGAGUGGCGAACGGGUGAGUAAUACAUCUGUACAUGUCCUGUCGUUUGGGAUAGCCCUGCGAAAGCCGGAUUUAUACCGCAUACGAUCUACGUAUGACAGCGUGGGCCCUUCUGUCCUCGCGCUUUUGUGUUUGCCUAUGGCUGAUUAGCUAGUUGGUUUGGUAAAGUCCUACCAAGGCGACGAUCAGUAGCUGGUAUGAGAGGACGACCAGCGAAACGGGGACGGAGAAACGGACAAGAGGACGAAGGGAGGAAGAAGUGGGGAAUUUGGGACAAGGGGGGAAAGGAGGAUAAAGCAAUGCGGAGUGUGGGAAGAAGGACUUAGGGUUGGAAAGAAAUUUUGUGCGGAAAGAAAAACUUGGGACUAAAAAGGGCGGGGGAUGACGGUAACGGAAGAAUAAGCAACGGCUAACUACGUG
Molecule: ribosomal RNA, 486 nt
Filed under: uncultured bacterium
Lineage: Bacteria
Description: partial 16S ribosomal RNA
Rfam family: Bacterial small subunit ribosomal RNA
Source: RNAcentral